RNAcentral lists this long non-coding RNA (10282 nucleotides) under Durio zibethinus. RNAcentral's name for it is "long non-coding RNA (DZIB_LNC001895)". Lineage: Eukaryota; Viridiplantae; Streptophyta; Magnoliopsida; Malvales; Malvaceae. The record is from RNAcentral.
CAAAGUUUGGCCCCAUUUUCCUCAAUUGCUAACCAUUCUAAGCUUGAGGUCUUUGAGCUCAUCGGUGAUAACAAUGGAUUAAUGGUUGAAAUCGAUGAUCAUAAUUGGGUUCCACGCUUCCAACUGAAGAUCUUCCGUCUUUCGGGCUGUUCAGUUGAUGAAGGAUCCAUGUUCAAAUUUCUUUCUUACCAAUAUGAUCUUAGAGUGAUUGAUCUCUCUGAUAACAACUUGGAAGGAGAUUUUCCUACUUGGUUGAUGGAGAAUAAUACAAGAAUGGUAGAACUACAUUUGAAAAAUAAUUCGUUCAAAGGCCAAUUUCCUCUUCCAUGUCGUCCUAGCACGUUCAUCUCCGUUGUUGAUAUUUCCAACAAUCAGCUUCAAGGACAUAUCCCAUCAAACAUAAGUGUCUAUCUCCCAAAUCUGAAAUUUCUGAAUCUCUCAACGAAUUCCUUCAAAGGCAGCAUUCCUUCUUCAUUCGGUGAUAUGAAAAUCUGCUCGUUUUGGACCUGUCAAACAAUGAACUCUUGGGAAACAUACCUGAUAGCUUGGUCUCUGGCUGCUUUCUUUUGCAUGCUUUAAUAUUGUCAAACAAUAAUCUUAGCGGCCGAAUGUUUCCAAAGUUUUCUAAUCUGACCAGCUUAGAAAUUCUGCAUUUGAAUGGGAAUCUCUUUCCUGGAGAAAUCCCAGAUAGUUUGUUCAACAGCUCAUACUUGAAGAGUCUAGAUGUUAGUUAUAACUCCUUAUCAGGUAAGCUGCCAACUUGGAUGGGAAAUUUGACUUAUCUGCAAACACUUUUGAUGGCCGGUAAUCAUCUUGAAGGACCGAUUCCCAUUGAGUUUUGUUCACAUGAGAACAUUGAAAUUCUUGAUCUUUCGCAAAACAAUCUCUCAGGCUCUAUCCCAUCUUGCUUUAGCCCAAUAUCCCUUCUUCAUGUAUACCUGCAUGACAACAAGUUCACAGGACCAAUAACAAAAUCCUUCUCUCAAAGCUCAUCUUUGGUGACUCUAGACAUCAGAAACAACUACUUGACUGGAGGUAUUCCCAGUUGGAUUUCCAAUCUCAGUUUGAGCAUUCUUCUUCUGAAAGAAAACCAGUUGGAAGGAAGAAUACCUGCUGAGUUGUGUCAGUCGUCCUUGAUGACUAUACUAGAUCUUUCUCACAACAAUCUCUCAGGUUCUAUUCCUUCUUGCUUGAACAAGAUACCAUUCAAAAUAGGGUUUCGUUCUGGAAAAUUUCGUUUACCUGUUUUUCUGGAUAUUGAUCUACAGUUGUCAGCGUAUUCAUAUCAAAGCAGCUAUAUAGAGUUACUUCAAAUACCUUCUUAUGCUAAACCUGUAAAUUAUGAAAUAACCUCCGUUGAGUUCACAACCAAGAACAGGUCUAACUUCUACAUGAACAACUUUUUAUACAACAUGACUGGAAUUGAUCUGUCUUGGAACAAAUUGACAGGCAGAAUACCACCCGAAAUGGGGGAGCUAAAGCGAAUCCGUUCGCUAAAUCUUUCACAUAAUGAGCUGAGUGGUUCAAUUCCAACAACCUUUUCGGGCCUAAAGUACAUAGAAAGCUUGGACCUUUCUCACAACAAGUUGACAGGAGCAAUUCCUCAACAGCUUACUGAACUGACUGUGCUGGGAUAUUUCUCUGUUGCUUACAACAAUUUAUCUGGUAAAAUACCUGAUAAAGCGCAGUUUGGUACUUUCGUGGACAAUAGCUAUGAGGGAAAUCCUUUUCUUUGCGGGUCAAUAUUGAAGAAAGACUGUAACUCAACUCUGGAAGAGUCACAGGGGGGACACGAGGAGGGAGAGAACAGCUUUAUGGAGAUGCUGGCUUUUUACUUAAGUUUUCUUAUGGCUUAUGCAAUAAUGGUGGUGGUACUUAUUGCUACUCUUUACAUCAACAUGGAUUGGAGAAACAAGUGGUUUCAUCUAGUUGAUGCUUGUAUCAAUACUUGUCUUUGUAAGUUGACCAAUCAAAAUGAUUAGAAUUUCAUCAUUGUUUAAAAGAAAAUGCCGAGGGAAGCCGAAGGCAUGUACCUAUGUACUAGCAAAACACAAAGCCGAAUGGGUAAAAUCCCAUGAUAUUAAACUUUUGGUGAUUGAAGCAUAAUUGGACACUAAACUUCUAUUUUUUUCUUGUUAAAAACAAGGUAGAAAUUGUAGAGAAGCAAAGAAGUAAGCGUAUGUCAGAGAUUGUCAUCGAAAUCAACUCAAAUUUAUAUUUGUAAAAAGGUUUUUUUGUUGUGUUGAGAAAGUGUUGUAUACAAGUAAAAUAGGAUGUGUUGUGAGAUAACGGAGAAAAUGAUUGGAGUAAACUUUAAAGUAUUGACUGCAGCUAUGGGUGAUGAUAUUUGAUAAAUAAAAGCUGAGUAGAGAAGAGAAUGAGAUUAAAAAAAUGAUUUGGAAAGAGUAAAUUACAGAGGGAACUGAAUAAAUUUGUUAAAAGUUUUUAAAAGUCUUAUGAAUCAUUUAAAUUCUUAUUUAUAGGUUUCAAAAAUAAGAGUUAUAUAUUUUGAGUAUUAAAUGAGAAUAAUAAUAAACAAUGAGAUAAUUAAUUAUUACAAAAUAUAUUAAUAUAUUGUUUAAUGAAAGUGUAAUUAAUUUUUUUGUGAUACACAUAAUGAAUAUAAAAAUUCACUAUUUUUUUUUUUGAAAGAAAGGAAAAAGCAUUUAAGAAAAAGUUAAGAUGAAACUUUUUAAUUAUCUUCGUAUUUAAUCCACUAAAUUAAACUUUCUAAAAUAUUUUAAUAACGAGAUUAAUCCAAAAAUUUUAUUAUAUUUUGAGGUUAUUUUCACUCAUUUAUUUGAUGAAGUGUUUUUUGUGAAGUAAAAAAUAAUUUUUAGUAAAAGAGUUUUUGAUGAAUAAUUAUUUCGUAAAAUAAUAUUUAUUAAAAUAAUUUUAUUAUAUUUUUUAAUUUAUUUUCAAUUUUAAUAACUCUAAAACAAUAUAUAAAAAUAAAAUAUUAAUAAUCAAAAUCAAAUAUCUUCAAUAUUUAAUUGAAAUUCAACUGAAAUUUAAAACCAUAGAUUACAAAUGAAAUCACCAUUCACCAGCCAUUAGAUGCAUUUAAAUGCUCGCAUUUGAAUUUAGGAAAAACAGUUCAUUAAUUACAAAUUUUUUUAAAAUAGUAAUUUAAUUAUUUUUAAUCAAUGUUUAUAAACACUUGUUAAUCAGAUACACAUUCCAUGACAUAACACUGGCUAGGAGAAUGCAGAUUAACAGAGAUAUUAUUGAUGACAUAUGAUGACCAGUCCAUCCAGGAAAUUCCAUUUUGUAAGUUGCAGAUUGGUGGGCUUGGUUGUAAAGGAAACAAUAAAAUGUUAAAUUCCAUAUUUUCCCCCACUUUCCAAAGAAAGUGACAUCACGCCAACGCAACGGCAUGACAUAAUUGCACGGUCCAUUGAACGUGCUUAAAUGGAAAGUGGCUUUACCAUUUCCCCCACAAAACGUUGAACCGACAACUAAACCCCGAUAGAGAAAGAAAAAACAAAGAAAAAUGAUAAUAAUUGCAGAAAUGAAAAAAAAAUAAAAAAUUUAUUUCAUUUCAUUUCGUCACGCCCAUCGGCGUUUAAUAACAGUCCUUUCUUUUAUUCCGCUUCGAAAUUAGCGUUAAUUUCCUAAAAAUUAUUAUUAUUAUCAGAUUGUUUUUCUUUGCUAAUCUUUUUUUGUUUGAUUGCUAACAAAAUUUUACAAGGAAAUAAUACAAAACCACAAAGUUUCAGCAACAUACACAACGUUACUAAGCAAUGGGGCCUGAAAAGAGAAUGGAUGUCUGUCAUUUUGUUACUUAUUUUGACAUUUAUUUUCAGGGAAAGUAAAUGGAAGUGAGGCAAAGUAUGUGGUGGAGUUUUCAUGGGGGAUUACUAGGAGGUCUGUCGUGGAGGGGCAGAUUGGUGAACCUGUGCCUGUGGAGAUCGGUACUUCAUCCCUAGUUUCGGCUGCUAAGAGGACUUACAGAAAGGACCCUCUUAAUGGGUUCAAGAGAUACUCAGGAGGAUGGAAUAGCGGGGAGCGCUAAUACUAGGUUAUAAGCUUACCUUAACCCAAGAGCCGAGAUGACCCAUUUUUGAUGAGUUUUUUUUUUUUUUUUAGUUUUCUCUUUUCGGACAUGAUCGUGCCAUCUACUCAUGUCCAGUUAUUUACCACUUGCCAGGAUAGGAUUACUCUUGGACCCUUGGCCCUGGUUCAAACUUUCAAUGCUGGCACGUGGGUGAUUUUACAUUUGCAUCCUUCAGAAUUUGUGAUUUUGGCACGUGAGGGUAUAAUUACUAGUCAAACAUUCUGGUUAAGGUCCCCCAUGCCCACCAUACACCCUCCUUUUUCUUUAGUUGUAUUUUUGUGGCAAAAUGGUAGUGAAAUUAGAGAGUGGAUAUUGAAAAUAUAGUUUCCAAUUGCAGUCCAGAGGAGAUAAUUUAUUUCUGUAGAUAUGUAUAGAGUUUUUUUUUUUUUUUUUUUGUUUGGCCGGAAAAAAAGAAUGGAUAUGUUUAGCAUAACAUGGAUGAUACUAACUUUUUCUUUCUAAUCUAAUACACAAUCAUAGCAGUAGUCCAAUACCUACAUUUAUGUUUGCAGAAAUGCUGAGCUGGUGCUAGAAAUAGUAUGCCAUUAGCCCAUUACUGCAGCAAUUUCCUUUUGGAGUAAUUUUUCCAUGCAUUUUUCAUUUAUGCAGUAGAUAUUGAAGCAAAUAGGAUUGAGACAUGGUUCAAGCUUUGCGGAACAAGGCAGGUCCUUGAUGCUGGAUGAUGUGAAGUUAAGAAUGUGACUUUGUAAACAAGUUGAUUGAUUCUUAGGUAUACCAUAUCUGUCUUCCCUUGUGGAAGCUGGCGAAUCAUAGAUGAACAUGAUAUCUACCAAAAAGUUUGGUCCUUUCACACUACAAAAUUUUUCUUUGUACUUUGAUUUAGCUCUAGUGUUGCACUAAGGUGUUUUUUUUUUUUUUUUUUUUUUCGAAUAUUUUCAUUUGCGUACCCUUUUAUCCAUUUUCGUGUCCUAAUGCACGUUGGAUUAAUAUGUAUUGGAUAUAUUAGCAGCUUAGUCAGUAUCAGUUUAAGAUUAUGUCCUAACUAACUCAGUUCCAAUUUAUGUUUAAAUGCAGUCCGUGGCUUUUACUGCCACUUUCUCUGUUUGCAAUUGCUGAAUCUGGUUUGGUUGGCUUUGGUAUGCUUAUUGCUCAUCUUCUCUGUUAUUUCUGUUGUAAAAGGCAGCCACAUGAUCUUCUCGAAUUGCUUAUGCAAUCUCUCUCAUUUUCCUGGUGUUGUUCCCAGUUGCUGCAAUGUAAAUGCAUCUUUCUCUCGUGUCAUAUUCAUAUUGAAUAUUGAUAUGUGUCAUGAUAGUUCCUAAAUCCUAAUGCUUUGCUCUUUGGUUUUAGGCUUGGCUGCUUUGUCCUAUAUGUUGGCCAGGGGAGGUUUCAUAAAAGCACUACAAAAACAUUAGCAUGUGUUGUAAAUCAGGCAGUUAUGAGUAUCAGGAAACUAAAGGAUGUGUCGGACUCUCUUGCGACAGCUAAGUAGAUCGGAGUUGAUAAAAAUUUUUCUACCUUCUUAUGUCCAAACUGAUAUUGAUGAGAUAGGAGCAAAAAUUAAUUCUUCUGGAAGCACUCUAGCCGACAAAACAGUGGAUAAUUCAGAUGAGAUCUCCUAGAUUCUGUGUAAGUGAAGGAUUCUGAAGUUUACCUAUAUGUUUUAGUGCUUCCAAGAAAAGCUUUCAUUAAAGCUGUAUUUCAAUGCUGCUACAGGAGAGUGGCUCUUAUUGCAAUAGCCGCUAUUAUGCUUCUAUUGACAUUUCUUGGAUUCUGCAAGUCCCUGUGGUUUCUUUAGUAAGAAUUCGCGAAAGUUCGUUUUUUCAGAAUUUAGAAAGUUUGUGACUUCAUUUAUUUAUACAAUCUAAUUUUGUUUAAGUAUUCUCAAUUUUUGGGAUGCAGCUUCUUGUUUACAUGUGAGUAGGAUGGAAUUUCAUUCUCCAAUUUUUUCUCUGAUUUUGUUUGGAUUCAAACGAGGAUCUUUCUUAACAGAAGGGUUUAAAACUAUAUCUGUUUCAGUCUGGUGAUACUAGGAUGGAUGCUUGUCACUGGAACAUUCCUUGUUCUCCAUAAGUAAGUUUUAGCAUAGCUCAACCUAUAUCUCUACAUCUUACUGCUUCUAAUUUUACAUCCUAAUUGAUGUUUUGUUUUUGAUGUGCGAGUGCGGCUGCAGAUACUUGUGUUGCAAUGCAUGAUUGAAUCCAAAAUCCCACUGCUCAUGCGGCUUUAGAUGAUAUACUGCCUUGCGUGGACAAUGCUACAGCCCAAGAAACAUUGUUGAAAAGCAGGGAAGUUACCUCUCAGCUUGUUGAAGUUAUUAACCAGGUCAUAACCAACGUGUCAAACAUUAAUUUUUCACCUAACUUUCCGACCAUGUACUUCAAUCAAUCCGUUCCAUUGGUGCCGGUACUCUGCAAUUCUUUAUUUCCUGACCUUACAGAUCGAAUUUGCACUGCCGGUGAAGUGAAUGCAGAUAAUGCAACAUAUGUAAAUUCAUUGGACCCAGCAACAUCAAUGCAUUAUUAUUAACAAGCAAACAAACUUGAACUGAGAUAGAAAGUAGGCUGCCAAGAAUUUCUAUAUGUUUUCUUUUGGUUGCAAGAUCUGGACUUAUUUUCCAGUAAGAUAUUAUCAUUUACUACAGGUAUGAAGGAACUAUGUCUGUCAGGUUUCUGCAACUGGAAUAUGCACCACAACAGGACGAUUAACUCCAGCCUUCUAUGACCAGAUGACAGCUGUGGUAAAUGUGGGUUCUGCAUUAUAAAAUUAUGCUCCUUUCGUUGUUCAGCUUCAAGACUGCACAUUUGUGAGGGAAACUUUUACAGGCAUUUAUGUAGAACACCGCCCUGGUCUACGGCGAUAUAGUAGAUGGAUCUAUACAGGGCUGGCAAUGGUCUCAACUGCACUUAUGCUCCCUUUAAUCUUCUGGGUAAUAUAUGGGCGAGAGAGACGCCGUCGCCUUUAUACAAAACAGUUAAGUGAGGCUCCUGAAGCAGACAGAGACUCUUGAGAGAAGCUUUUCUUUCACUUUUUGUGCGGGAAUGGGAAUGGUUGUUUCUUUGCAGUUGUGGUCCGCAGCUUCACUCUAUGUUGCAGGUCCUUUAGUGUGGUUUGUCCAUAUAAAACUGUAACCAAUCCACGCCAGUAAUCAAAGAAUCCAGGUCCAUAAGUGGGUUGUACCUUGUAGUGCUAAAAGACUCGCAUGAUCAGAUUGAAAGGAUUUGUUUCGGGGAAAUUUCAUUACAUGUAGACUUGGGUUAAAUUCCUUCCAUGCCAUGAUGAUUCGUUUCAUGUUUUUUGAUAUUUUCUUUCCACAACCAAAUGAAGGGGAACUUCAAUUUCUGUUUGUUGAUCCCAUUUCAAGAACCAUGUUAAUAAGGCCUUCAAUACACAAAUUUUCCUAUACUUACCGCACUAAAAUAUUAAAUUAUUAAGAGUAAAUGUUUUAUAAAAUUAAUAAAACUUAACUCAUAAAUUUGAGGAUUCCGAAAAGCUACGAAAGAUAAUGUUAUGUACAUAUAACUGUUUAUUCAUGAGCACUUUUGAAAAAUAAUAGAAUUAGAUGGUUUUUUUAUUAGGUUAAAAAAUUUAUACAAGAAGUGUGUAUAUUUUUAUGUUUAUAUAACCUUUUCCAUAAAUAAAUGUUUUUGAGCAAAAUGACCGAGCAUGUCAAUCCCAUUGACUUAUUGCUACGGCCGACAAAUAAUAGGGGCUUAAAUUUAUUCUAAAAUUGGGCUGCACAGACUAAAAGCACCGUCUAAAAUGAAAACAAAACCCAGCCUGUAUUCAAUAUUCAAAGGUUUUGUCAGUUAGAGAAUAACUUCGACAUGCCUUGUCUUGGUCCAAGUGUCCAUCGCGCUUCGGCUCACCCUCUACAGUAAAAAAACUUCUGGGCUCCGUGAUAUCAUUCCAGUCUAAGCCCUUGAAUAUAGCUUUGAUAAAUUGCGACUCGUUCCAUACAGAAAAUGCUGACCAAUCAGUUCUUGAUAAAGACGAAGAAUUCACCGUCAUUCCGCGUGGUCGACUUAGUGAAGCCACUUGUGUAAUAAAGGAGCAUAUAAUAAGUCAAACAAACUCCUCGUCUGAACAAAUGCGAUGUCUCUGCUAGAGAUUGACUGAGGAUUCUCUAAUCAGCAGCCUUUGCAAUGAGCUGAUAAUCAUGAUGGUCAAGAAAUGGAGUAAACCAAUGGUUUGGGUAAUCUCUUUCGCUUGUAGACCAUCUCCUAUGCACUGUCCCCAUUGGUGCCUGCUAUUAUUAUAUAUAAAUUAGAACGUAACCUUUCCAUUUCCAUCUCAAAUAGGUCCAUGUAAUUAAUAUAGGGAUGGACCAUUCGAGAAUUUGUCGAUUUGAGGCACUCGAUUGACUAAUCCAAAGGUCCGCAAAAGCAACUUCUAUAUAUAUCAAUAUCUUCUUUCUCAGCUGCAGCAACCAAUAGAUUCUUUCAAACCAUGAAGUGGAUUUUCUGGUGCUGGCUUUCUUUGGUCCUGGUACAGUUAAACGAUUACCAAUGCUUUGGUUGCCAUGAGGAAGAGAGGCUUGCUCUUUUGAAACUCAAAACAUCUUUCUAUCCGGACGAGAGCUAUGCUCCUCCAUCUUGGGAGGAUAAUGAUAGUGACUGUUGUGGUUGGGAAAACGUGGUGUGUGACAAAGAAACGAAACAAGUAAGUAAGCUUUUUCUUAACAGCUCAUGGGAUCCCCUUGAAGUAUAUGAAGAUGUGUAUCUGGAUGCCACCCUUUUUCUUCCAUUUAAGGAUCUGACUUCCCUAAACUUGUCUUCAAACAUGUUUUCUGGUUUGGCUGAUAAUGAUGGUACUAGAAACUUCUUUUUUUCAGUUUAUCAUUUCAGGAUUCUGUUUUUCUGCUGUGAAAUAGGAAGGAAGUUUAAAUAUUCAUUUUUUUCGAAUUCUCUUCGUUCAACAGGCUUUGAAAGAUUGUCUAAACUGAACAAGUUGAGAUUCCUUGAUUUGAGCGGGGGCAACUUUAAUGACAGCAUCUUUGCACAUGUUGGAGCAAUCUCUUCACUUACUACUUUGUAUUUGGCUUCGAACUUAAUGACCGGAGCGACUCAUUUCCAAGGUAUGUUCAUUCUUCCAUUUUACUUUGGACCCAAGAAUCUCUAUCUCAUGUAACUUUGCUCGUGUCAUGAUAUUGUUCUCUGAAGAACUGCCUGCUCUGUCUAACUUGGAGGAGUUGGACUUGAGUGAGAAUUUGUUAGAAAGCUUCAUGGAGAUUCAAGGUACACCACCAAUGUUUAAUUACAUUUUGCACUCGAUGGUUUCCUAGUCGACCUCUGGUUUAGCUGAUUUCUAUUUCAGGUCUUAAAAAAUUGAGCAAACUGAAAGUCCUGAACCUAAACUCAAAUAAGCUCAACAUGAGUACUUUACUGUCUCUCGGGAAUCUCCAUUCGCUCAAGAGGCUUUAUAUCAACGAUAAUAGCUUGGAAGGAUCCAUUGCUAUUGAAGGUACGCACAACUAAAAAAAAAUAAGGGCAGCCCGGUGGAUAAAGCACUCCGGCUAUCUGCGAGUUCGGGGAAGGGUCUAUUGUACGCAUGUUUUAUCAUACCUUGAUUUUUCUACCUUCCUUCCUUUCUAGGACUUAACAGUUUGAGAAACUUGGAGGUCUUGGAUGUCUCUUCCAGUAAUAUUAGCAGCAACUUUCUUCAGGUUUUAGACUACAUGAUAUCCCUUAAAGGCUUAUCCUUGCGUGAUAAUAGUCUCAAUGGCACCACGGAUUUGCUUGGUAAUUUUAGUUGUACUUGAAACCAAGUGUUUUAAUUGAAUUAAAUUAACAAGUAUUUAUUGUAUUAACUUUGUUUUCUAACAAUUUUGGCAGGCUUGUGCAAACUUAGGGAUCUUGAAGAGUUGGAUCUCAGUCAUAACAGUUUCAAAGGCACAAUCCCUUCCUGUGUUGAAACCUUGACAUCCCUUCGAGUUCUGGAUAUCUCUAGAAACAGGUUUUCGGGGAACAUCAGUUCAUCUUUCAUCUCUAGCCUCAUUUCCCUUGAGUUUCUUUCCCUUUCUCACAAUGUAUUCCAAAGUUUGGCCCCAUUUUCCUCAUUUGCUAACCAUUCUAAGCUUGAGGUCUUUGAGCUUAUCGGUAAUAACAAUGGGUUAAUGGUUGAAAUCGAUGAUCAUAAUUGGGUUCCACGCUUCCAACUGAAGAUCUUCCGUCUUUCAGGCUGUUCAGUUGAUGAAGGAUCCAUGUUCAAAUUUCUUUCUUACCAAUAUGAUCUUAGAGUGAUUGAUCUCUCUGAUAACAACUUGGA